UAAAAGCCUACCAAGGCAACGAUCGGUAGCUGGACUGAGAGGAUGUACAGCCCGCUGGUGUUGAGAACGGACCAUCCUCCUACGGGGGGCAGCAAUGAGGAAUUUUCCGUACUGGACGAAAGUCUGACGGAUCAACGCCGCGUGCAGGACGACUCUUUUAGCAGUGUAAACUGCUUUUCCCAGGGAAGAGAGCGGACGGCUCCUGGGGAAGAAGCCCCGGAUAACUACCUGCCAGCAGCCGCGGUAAUACGUACGGGGCGAGCGUUGUCCGGAGUUACUGGGCGUAAAGGGCAUGCAGGCGGUCGUCCGCGUUUUGUGUGACAGCGGGUGGCUCAACUACCUCGAGUAUGCCAAAGACUGUACUACUUGAGGGCUCGAGAGGAACACGGAACUCCUGGUGGGGUGGAGAAAAUG
This 414-nucleotide ribosomal RNA is filed under the name uncultured soil bacterium. RNAcentral describes it as "bacterial SSU rRNA". It matches the Rfam family "Bacterial small subunit ribosomal RNA", at positions 258 to 688 of the family's 1533-position model. The record is from RNAcentral.